GGUAAAGAAGCUUCCUUGUUAGGUAGUGAGGAGAUAAAGAAGCAUCCUUGUUAGGUAGUGAGAGGUAAAGAAGCUUCCUUGUUAGGUAGUGAGAGGUAAAGAAGCAUCCUUGUUAGGUAGUGAGGAGGUAAAGAAGCAUCCUUGUUAGGUAGUGAGGAGAUAAAGAAGCAUCCUUGUUAGGUAGUGAGGAGGUAAAGAAGCAUCCUUGUUAGGUAGUGAGAGGUAAAGAAGCUUCCUUGUUAGGUAGUGAGGAGAUAAAGAAGCAUCCUUGUUAGGUAGUGAGAGGUAAAGAAGCUUCCUUGUUAGGUAGUGAGGAGAUAAAGAAGCAUCCUUGUUAGGUAGUGAGGAGAUAAAGAAGCUUCC
This is a long non-coding RNA of Epinephelus fuscoguttatus (brown-marbled grouper), 363 nucleotides long. RefSeq lists it as uncharacterized. The transcript has 4 exons. The record is from RefSeq and is a predicted model, not a curated record. Lineage: Eukaryota; Metazoa; Chordata; Actinopteri; Perciformes; Serranidae.